CUCCCUACUCCCUUCUCUUCCUCUUUCUCCUCCUCCUUCCUUCUCCUUCUUUUUCUUUUUGGAAACCACUGAUUUAACCCUGAGAGAGGGAAAACUUGUCCUGGCAAGAAUUUCCAAAGCUCAGUUUUAUUUUUUAAGACAAAGUCUCGCUCUUGUCACUCAGGCUGGAGUGCAGUGGCGUGCUCUCGGCUCACUGCAGCUUCCGACUCCCUGGUUCAGGAGAUUUUUCUCGUGCCUCAGGAUCCCAAGUAGCUGGUACUACAGGCGUCAUCAUGCCCGGAUAAAUUUUCUACUUUUAGUAGAGACGGGGUUUCACCAUGUUGGCCAGGCUGGUCUCGAACUCCCGACCUCAGGGGAUCCACCCGCCUCGGCCUCCCAAAGUGCUGGUAUUACAGGCGUGAGCCCCAGCGCCCGGCCCCAAAGUUCCGUUUUACCCUUUUUCCCACGCUGAGGCUACAGCUGAACCCAGCCUCCAGACCACCUCCUCAUUGGUCUAUGGGAGCACGUGACAUCAUGCGUCCUCCAAUCACCAGCAAGCAAGCAAGGCGUGGGCGGGACCAAGGGCGGCUACCUCUGGGGCCAGCAGGAUUGGCUGUUGCCCGUGGUAACUGUGUGUGACGUCAUAAAGCUUCCUUGCACCUUGGCAAGGCCCCGGGAGCAGGGACCUUUUCUCUCCCACUAUACAGAUGGGGACACUGAGGCGCUGGUUCUCAAUCUAUGAAAAAAUGGGGUGCUGGGUCUUGUUCCGUCACCCAGACUGGAGUGCAGUAGCAGGAUCACAGCUCAAUGCAACCUAGAAGAAUUCCUGUCGUCCUGUGCUCAUGAGAUCCUCCCUCCUCUUGCAACU
Molecule: long non-coding RNA, 847 nt
Filed under: Homo sapiens (human)
Lineage: Eukaryota; Metazoa; Chordata; Mammalia; Primates; Hominidae
Description: HSALNT0395589
Source: RNAcentral